GGAAGUUUGAUCACAUGAGCUGGGUAAAG
RNAcentral lists this non-coding RNA (29 nucleotides) under Cricetulus griseus (Chinese hamster). Lineage: Eukaryota; Metazoa; Chordata; Mammalia; Rodentia; Cricetidae. The record is from RNAcentral.